GAUGAACGCUGGCGGCGUGCCUCAAACAUGCAAGUCGAGCGAGGCUAUGGAAUUACCGCAAGGUAAGGCAUAGCCUAGCGGCGAACGGGUGGUAACACGUGGGUAACCUACCUGGAAGACAGGGAUAACGAUUCGAAAGGGUCGCUAAUACCUGAUAAUAUCCGUCUGCCGGAUGGCGGAGGGAAGAAAGGGGAAACCCGCUUUCAGAUGGGCCCGCGUCCCAUCAGCUAGUUGGUAAGGUAAAGGCUUACCAAGGCGACGACGGGUAGCCGGUCUGAGAGGAUGUACGGCCACACUGGGACUGAGAUACGGCCCAGACUCCUACGGGAGGCAGCAGUUGGGAAUCUUAGGCAAUGGACGAAAGUCUGACCUAGCGACGCCGCGUGAGGGAAGAAGGCCUUCGGGUUGUAAACCUCUGUCAUGGGGGAAGAAGGAAGUGACGGUACCCCAAGAGGAAGCCCCUGCUAACUACGUG
RNAcentral lists this ribosomal RNA (475 nucleotides) under uncultured bacterium. RNAcentral describes it as "bacterial SSU rRNA". It matches the Rfam family "Bacterial small subunit ribosomal RNA", at positions 28 to 507 of the family's 1533-position model. The record is from RNAcentral.